CGGGGUGAGUAAUGUCUGGGAAACUGCCUGAUGAGGGGGGAUAACUACUGGAAACGGUAGCUAAUACCGCAUAACGUCUUCGGACCAAAGUGGGGGACCUUCGGGCCUCACGCCAUCGGAUGUGCCCAGAUGGGAUUAGCUAGUAGGUGGGGUAAUGGCUCACCUAGGCGACGAUCCCUAGCUGGUCUGAGAGGAUGACCAGCCACACUGGAACUGAGACACGGUCCAG
RNAcentral lists this ribosomal RNA (229 nucleotides) under uncultured bacterium. RNAcentral's name for it is "partial 16S ribosomal RNA". It matches the Rfam family "Bacterial small subunit ribosomal RNA", at positions 104 to 334 of the family's 1533-position model. The record is from RNAcentral.